AAAACAUUCAACCUCAGUGACACAAGGGUACAUCUGAUGAUAUAGAUUCAUUGAUGUCCUGGUUGGUAUCCUAAUAAUAGUGUAGUAGCCUACAUAGGAUAACCAUGAAAUUAAUAUACAGCAUAAUAUGAAUAUAUAAAUAUAUAUAAUUUAAAUGAGGCGGGUGACCAAUAGCGACAGAUCUGCCAACCAAUCACGAGUGAUUGAAAGUUGUGGUUUCAUCCAAUCAUGAACAAGGAAACUCAAGCCUGGUCUGCCCAGGUGUGGUUUUGCUGCCAAUCACGAGUGAUUUUAUUUGUUAGAAAGUUGUGAUUUCAUCCAAUAAGGAGUAAGGAUAUUCAAGCCCACUCGGCUCGGCCACCCGCGGUUUAGCUGCAUUCAUAUGCUAAUUAGGGCCAUUCACACCUCCGCCAGCUCUCCAUAUACGUCAUGGUUCGUUUCCGACAAUUUGUGGCACAGACAAACGCGACAUGCGCGGGUUGCAAAUUGUCGGAAACUGUCGGAGAGAUUCCCGGGCGUUUACGGAGACGAAAAUCUCACUUUUCAUGCAGUGAGGAUAGCAGCAAGCUCCAGGACAUUGACAAGAAUGGCAAAAGUACUCUGAAAGGUCUGCAUUGCUGCUGUCAAGCGACAGAGGAAAAGAUGUAUGAGGAUUGGUGGUCGUCAUCAAGUUGUUGUUAUUGACGAGAGCAAAUUUGCCCACAAACGAAAGUACCAUCAUUGUCGAUGUGGCAACACUUGGCGCCGUGAACGGCAGUGGGUCUUUGGGAUGUUGGAGGUCGACAAGAAGUCCAGAAGACCCAUUCUGAGACUUGUCAGGGAUCGCAGAAGGAAGACACUUAUAGGUCAUAUUAGACGCCAUGUCAGACCCAGAACAUCCAUCCUCAGUGAUGAAUGGCGUGCCUACAAAGGGCAACUUGCCCAGUAUGGGUAUGAUCAUUAUUCGGUCUGCCAUAAAAACAACUUUGUGGACCGAGAGACUGGUGCUCAUACUCAGCAUAUUGAGCGUGCAUAGUAAAGCUACAAGCUGGAAGUAUGGCGUCACAGAGGGAAUCGUACUCCUGAAUCACUCAAGCUUCAUCUUAAGAUGAUAGAAUGGCACCACUGGUUGGGUGUACACCAUUACAAUGGCGUGUUGGGCAGACUUUUCCAUGAUUUUUUUUUUUUUUACUUUACUUUUUACUGAUGUGAAAAAACUUGUUUUUU
Gasterosteus aculeatus aculeatus (three-spined stickleback) is the source of this 1206-nucleotide long non-coding RNA. The record is from Ensembl. NCBI's taxonomy places the organism in Eukaryota, Metazoa, Chordata, Actinopteri, Perciformes, Gasterosteidae.